AUCAGAAAAUUCUCCACGCUGUCGCUCCCUCCGUAACUUUACACACGUGUAAGUCCAUUCUCUAGGCGGUAGCUGGCUCCUUCUCUCCUAUCAUCUCUCCCCCCCCCUUCGAUCGGAAGAAACCGGAAGCGAAGAGAGCGAGCGAGCGAGAGUUCUAUUAGCCUCUCCUCCUCUUUGUCCUCCCUUUCGGUCACGGCCGUGAUGGGAGACGAUCCUUUUCCCACCCGCUGGACGUUCAAGGGUUUCAAGCUAUAUUAUGAUGUGAGGUUUGGAAGAAAGAAGGAACCCAAAGAAGAGGUUAGGGAUUCAAGAUGGAAUGCUAGGAGUUAUUUUAUGGAAUGAUCAGUGCCAAUGCGCGUGUAAAGAAGUCGUCCGACUGAUCGUACAGGAGCAGUUUGAGCGGCAGGAGAGAAAGAGGGAGCCACGCCUGGGAGCUGUUUUAUACCGGGCUAAUGAAACGCCCGGAGAAUGCUGGUCUUUGGUUUUCGUCUUUGUUUUGCGUCACACAUAUGCAAUGCAUAAUAAUUCCGAGAACUAACCUAUCGGGGUUUCAAAAUGGGAGAGCGAUUAGAAGGAUAGUAGCACAAACUAUUUUUGAAUUAUGAUUUAUUUAGGUUGAACUGUCAUCUUGGACAAUUAUUAUGAUUGUUAGAUAUUGCAAUAUUUUGCUAUUUAAAGAACUAAGUUUUGUAUGUUGGUAAAUUUAUUAUUGCGCUCGUGUUCACCGCCGUCGGCAGUCGAGGUUGGCCGAGCCUACCUCCCCACCUCUUGCCGCCGAUGGGGCUGGCCACCGCAGUCGCCCUUGGACUCGACCGAGGAGAGAAGAAGAAGAAAGUGGGGUCACGAGUCCCCUGUUCUGCCAAAGAAAAGAGGAGUCGGGAGAAGAGGGAAAGGGAAGAAGAAAAAGAAAAGAAAAAAAAGAAAAAAUAGACAAGAAAAAAAAUAAAGGGAGGGGGUGGUUUAUGGUUAUGAACUCAAAUCCGAACCCGAACCCGAAACUGGGGUGCUAGACACUUUUGCAAGGUCGGCCUUGGGAGGAUGUUAAAAUUUAAGUUUUAUAUAUAUUGUUGUGGAUUUUAAAAGAAAAAUAUGAUUUUUGGAUAUUAGGUUCGGCGAGGGAUUUGUGAGAUUAAUUGAAUUUGUUGGGGAUCGCGUUCGAUGUAAGUAAUGAACUACCUUUUCUAGACUCUUCAUUUAUAUAAUAUUAUUUUUGCAUCGAAUAAAUUGUUAAUGAAUUUAUA
Non-coding RNA from Phoenix dactylifera (date palm), 1241 nucleotides. Lineage: Eukaryota; Viridiplantae; Streptophyta; Magnoliopsida; Arecales; Arecaceae. The record is from RefSeq and is a predicted model, not a curated record.